This 23041-nucleotide long non-coding RNA is filed under the name Nicotiana benthamiana. Its description in RNAcentral is "long non-coding RNA (NBEN_LNC019506)". The record is from RNAcentral. Lineage: Eukaryota; Viridiplantae; Streptophyta; Magnoliopsida; Solanales; Solanaceae.
ACAAAUUGAACUCUACAAAGAAUCACAAUUUGGGUUCCUCUCUGCGACCUAGGGUUUCAUUCUCCUUCUCAUCAAGGUAAACUCUAAACUUAUAAUAAAUUAUUUUGAAAUUGGGCAAUUUUUUCUCUCUCUCUCUGUUUUUCAAAUAUUGAGUUUCUUUUUAUAAUUACAUAUUAUGAAUAUUGAUAUUGAAUGUACAGAAGUUGUUUCGUUAUUUCCGUUGAACUUUGCUCCUUGCAUAAUAGCUGUGUGUUUUAAUCUUUCGAGCAGAUUAAUUUUUGAAAUUGGGUCUUAUUACUGGAGAAAAAGCUUUUCAGUAGCUGGUUAUGAUUGUAUUGUAAACUUUCUCUAGUGAAAUUAGGGAAGGGCAUAAAAUUCUAGAAACCCAAAAACGUGUUAGAAGGGGAAAUGUAGCAGUCGUCAAGUUCUCAAGUCAUAAUGGAGCCUACCAAGAAUAUUUUGGUUCUUCUAAAACCAACUUCGCCAUACUUGCUCCAUUUUAGGCACAAAUAUUUGAAUCAGAUAAAUUAUUGGCUUCAUAUAAACUGCCUAAAGUCUAUUUCUUAUAAUUACCAAUUGUCCUUGAAAAUCUGUUUUAAUAUGCAGCUAGAAUAGGGUGAAUUAAUGUCUAUGAACAAAUAAGUUGUAAGAAAUUAGCUAAUUUACCCGCAAAAUAGGAAUCAAAUUAAUUCGAUUCUUCGAUACAGGUUCUUCGGUUUUAGGUACGGUCUUCAGUAUUGAGAUAUGAAUAUUUUGGUUCUUCGGUUAGGUAUUCGGUAUUAAUGUUUUGUAUACUAUUUCACUGAAAUAAUAAAAUUAAGCUGGAGGAAUGUUUGUUUAUCUGCUACUACUACCUCAAUUCAAUGCCAUGUUCUGUUUAUUGCAUAUACUUUUACUGAUCUUUAUAAAUAGAAAAUAUUUUUUGUCUAUCAUUAACUAAGAAUAUUGAUCUUCAAUAGCUACUAAAAGAUGUAUACUUACUGCAUCUAAUAAAUUAGCAAGAAUAAUAUGUGAUUAUCUAGACUCAAAGUAUGUAGAAUAACUUCUACUUCGAACCCCUUAAACAAUAAGUAGAAUUCCAGAAUUUUGCCGCAUUUCCAUUUUGUGAGUUUGUAUAAUUCGUUGGUUUACUAGAUGACGUCUUAUUUGUUAGCUUGCUUUCAUUUUGCUAUAUGAAUUUGGUAGGAUUGUUGUAUGAAAACAGACAGUUGCUGCUGCAUUUUUAUUGAAAUUUGUCAUGCAAAUUUGUUAUGUAAAUUGAUAAACCAAAACCGUACCAAAAUCGUUCUGAACCAAAUAAGAAAUAACAAACUAUACCGAACUACUUUGGUACGGUAUUUGAUAUUUAUAAUUAAUAAAUCAAAUACCGAAAUACCAAAUCGAAGUUAUCAGCGCUCACCCCUAAGUUAGAUAAGAAUUCACUAACUUUAUACCUAAUUAUAUUAGCUGGAGACAGAAGAAAGAAUUUUUUGGAUCUGGUCAUGAUUGUAUUUUAAAACAAGUCUUAGGUUUAUUCUCCUCUAUUGUUAAAGCUAAGUUUCUGCAUUGAUUUUGAAUCCUCCUGUUGUGUUAUUUUUCUUCUCCUUGUUCUUUAUCUGUCGAUGACCAUGGUGUUAUCUAUAUGAUUUUUAUAUAAGAUAUGGACAGAACAACAAUCCAAGAAAUAUUUUGCUUUUGAUGUGCAAGAAUCAACAUUAUAGUUUUUCUAAUAGAAAAUCUAGUUUAUUUUCUUCAACUAUUAUCUCCUAUGACUAUUUACCAUAACAGAGUGUCGAAGAUAACUCGAAGCUGUACUUGUCGUAUAUGUCGGGGAACAUAAAGACUUAUUUCAUUAUGUCAAUCUAGUUAGCUACUUAAAUUUAAAGUAAAAAAAGAAAAUGGAAACCGGGGACAACGUGAAUAAUUAAGAUUAUAAUUGUGUUAUUAAUUUUGGAUCUUUUAUCUAAAGAAAAUGUAAUUGUGACACUAGCAGUUAUUUUUUUUUAUGUUCGUGUUCCUGCUAAUGUGGUAAUUAUGGUAAUUGCAUUGUUGAAGAAUUCUUUGGUGAUUUCUCUUUGGUGCUCUUUGGUUUUGGCUGCUAGGCAUUAGUUUUGGCUAUUUUCCAUCCUCACAAUCUACUUAUUUAUGAUCGGCCAAUUUGAAACCUGUGAAAAAUAUAAGUUUCUCUUGCUGUAAAAAAAAUCCUUUUGUUCUAUCAAUUAAAAUGGUUUGGGUUGUGCUAUGGACUUGGAUGUUUGAGACAUCAUUGUGGUGCUUUUAGAAAAGACUGCUCUGCAAUUUUGUAUAAUUUCUGAACUUAUUGGCAAUACCUAAAGUUUUUGAAAUAGAAAAAAUCAGGAAUAAUACACUGUACCCUAUAGCUCAACUUCAUCGACUAGCUUCGUGGAUAACCUGUCACGAUUCGGAUUUAGGCAAGCCAAUUAUUCCAAAUAUGCAAUCCUUUUCAUCUCUAAUCCAUUAACACUUGCAAAUUAACAUUAUACAAACAACAAAAUAAUAAAGCGGAAAAGUGAAAUGUAACUAUAUAAUAAUACCGAUACAAAUCCAUAUUAAAAGCUACUUAGAAUUGUGUCACAAUUUCGCAGAUGGUCUAGGAUUACUACAAAUAGAGGUCCGAAAGAUAAAUAUAAAGCUAAUUCUGGGAUAUAUAAAAGAAAUAGUAUGGAAAGAGAGAAGGAAACGCCAAGGUCUGCGAACGCCUGUAGGACUACCUCGGGUCGCUUGAUGGACUAAAGGCAACAACCUCACUGUGGUCCAAAAGCUACAGCACCGGGAUCUGCGCAUAGAGCAGAUUAUAUUAUUAGCACAACCGACCCCAUGUGCUGGUAAAUGCCUAGCGUUACCCCGGUGAAGUAGUGACGAGGCUAGGACCAGAAUACCAAAUACACCUGUGCAGUCAAAUCAUAUACAGUGAAAAAUAAAGGCAGACAUUGAAAAUUAAAGAUAGGAGGGGGAACACACUGCAGAAAUAUCAGGUAGCAACAGAAAAUCAAUAGAAGAAUGUAAAGAGAACCAUAAAUCAAUUAUCAACAAGAAUCAAGAAAUCAAAGACAAGUGCACGGAAUCACCUUUCGUGCUUUUACUCUCGUCCUCACCAUAAGAAUCAAUAUAAUUUGUACGACAUCACCCUUCGUGCUUUUACCUCACAUAAUCAUGUAACAGGAUGAUUCUUCAUGAAUUAUAACUCAUAUCAUGGCACGAUAUUAUACAUCGUGCGAUACGACAUCACCUUUCGUGCUUGUACCUUACAAUAUCUGCACGAUAUCAUCCUUCGUGCAUUAACACUCUUAAAAUCAUACACUGUAUCAUCCUUCGUACUUUACACUCUUCCACACCUAAGUAACAAUCACAAAACAAUUUGGGCAAGGGAAUCAAUAAUUUCACAACAAGAUCCCAGCAAGAGAAACAAUAUAAUGAGUAAUAACUUCCCGGCAAGGGAGAUAAUAUCAAAAGCAAUAACAUCUCGGCAAGGGAUACAAUAUCAUAAACCUCUUCUAUUUUCCAAAAUUACUUCACAACUCAAUUAUCAACUAGAGCUAACACUCCACAAUGUUCAAUUACCAACAACACUUACACAAGCCUUGUUCAACAAUAGAAAUGAUCAUAUUAAAGCAUGAACAAUACGAAUAGAGUCACAUUAAUUAUAGUAUAGGAUCUCACGUGCAUGCUUAACAUCGACGUAUAGAUACUUGUCACCAUGCCUAUACGUCGUACUCGACAAUUAACACAUAGCAAAUAAGACAUGACUCUUAAUCCCUCAAGCUAAGGUUAUACCAAAUACUUACCUCAUGCCACAAAACAUAACUCAAGCCUCAACAACCACUUUACCUCUUGUUUCCACUACCAAUUCGCUUGUAUCUAGCCACUAUUUACUUAACGAUAUUAAUAAAUGCUAAAUGAAUCAAUUCUAAUGCAUAAAAAUUGGUUUUCUAAUAAUUUUUCCAAAAAGUCAAAAAAUUAACCCGAACCCCCAUGGACAAAAUCCGAGGUUCGAACCAAAACCCGUUUAUCCAUUCACCCAUAAACUCAAAUAUAUAAUUUGUUUUGAAACUGGAACUUAAAUCGAGCUCCAAAUCCCUAAAAUUUGAAAAUCUUAGGUCCUACCCAAAACACCUAAUUUUCUCCAUGAAAACUCUUGAUUUUGGAUUGAAAUCAUGUGAAAAGACGUUAUAGAUUAAAUAAGAUAAGUUAGAAACAACUUACAAUUGAUUUGGAGAUGAACUAUUCUUUAGAAAAUCGUCCAAGAGAGCUUAGGGUUUGAGAGAGUUUGAAAAAUGAAGAAAAAUACGAGUAUGUCUAAAUUAACUAGUCGCAGAUGUCGCAAUUGCGACCAGGGUUCCAAAAUUGCGAACCCCUUCAGGACCUGUUGUCUCCGCAAAAUGGGAAGAAUAUGUCGCAUUUGCAAUCAAGGAAAAUCCAGUCACAUUCGCAUUUCCGAGGGACCUGUUGCAUUUGCGACAUCUCUAUGGCCAGAAAUGGUCACAUUUACGACCAAGGCCUGUUCAGACGUGGUUCGCAUUUAUGACAAUAAGGUCGCAACUACCAAGCCUGUCCUCUUUGCCUGAUCUCGCAAUUGCGAGAUCAGAGGCCUGGGAAAAAAAUACUAAAUACCAGUACUUGCUCCAAGGUCCAAUUUCACUCCGUGGCCUAUCCAAAACUCACCCGAACCCUCAGGGCUCCAAACCGAGCAUGCAUGCAAGUCCAAAAAUAUUAUACGAACUUGCACAUGCGAUCAAAUCAUCAAAAUAUCAACAACUAUGAAUUAAACCUCAUAUUUAUGAAAUCACUCAAGAACAUCAAAAUUACUAUUUUCUCAACUAUAUGUCCAUUUUAUACCAAACCAACUCCGAUCUUUACCAAAUUUUACAAAUUCAUCUUAAUUAUUAUUUAAAACUUGUACUGUGCUCCGAAACCUAGAUACAGGCCCAAUAACAUCAAGAAUUACAUCAAUUCACUUCUAAAAAGCUUUAUAUUUUUCAUCAAAUAAUAUUUGUUAAAAAUUAAUUUUUUGGGCUUGGGACAUUGGAAUUCAACUCCGGGCAUAUGCCCAAGUGUCAAAUUUUAUUGCAAACCGUACGAGAUCGUCGGAUCACAGGUCCCGGUCUGUUUAGCAAGAAUGUUGAUCAAAGUCAACUUUAUUUAAUUUUAAAAGCCAAUUUAGCAUUUUCAUCAAAUUCCCAUAUAAAAACAUCUAGAUAUGUGCUCCGAGCGCAAACAAAUCGAGGUGAGGUAAAAGGAGGCUUCUAAGGCCUCAGAACACAAAAUUUACUUGCAAUAGAAGUGAUAACCUUUUGGGUCAUCACAUUCUCCACCUCUAAAAUAACCGUACGUCCUCGUUGAUAUAAGAAAGAAGUGCCUGAGUCAGAGAAAAGAUUCUGUAUCGGACUCGGACUGCCAGGUCUCUGCCUCAACUGGGUAACCUCUCCACUGAACACAAGCCGAAGGGAAGCUCUUCGAUCUCAACUGACGAAUAUGCCGGUCUACAGUAGCUAUCGGCUCCUCCUAAUAGAACAAGUCCUUUUCCAACUGGACAAUACUGAAGUCUAACACGUGGGAUGGAUUGCGGUGAUACUUCUAAAGCAUGGACACAUGGAACAUUGGAUGCAUGGCUGAUAAACUCUGCGACAUCAAAAGUCUGUAAGACACCUCUCCCACUCGAUCAAGAAUCUCGAAAGGACCAAUGAAUGUUGGGCUUAACUUGCCCUUCUUCCCAAAUCUCAUUGCGCCCUUCAUCGGUGACACUCGAAGCAACACCCGCUCACCGACCAUGAAUGACACAUCAUGAACUUUACGGUCGGCAUAACUUUUUUGCAUGUACUGAGUUGUACGAAGCCUAUCCUGAAUGAUCUUGACCCUAUCGAAGGCAUCCUGCACUAGAUCUGUACCCAACAACCGGGCCUCUCCCGGCUCAAAACACCCAAUCGGUGGUUGACACCGCCAACCAUGAAAAGACUCAUAAGGAGCCAUCUAGAUGCUAUACUGGUAUUUUGUUGUAGGAAAAUUCCGCUAAAGGAAAAAACUAAUCCCAUGAGCCUCCAAAGUCAAUAAUCAAGCUCGAAGAAUAUCCUCCAAAAUCUGAAUAGUAUGCUUGGACUGCCCGUCUAUUUGAGGAUGAAAUGCUGUGCUCAACUCACGCUAAACUGCCCUCAAGAAAUGUGAGGUAAACUACGUACCCUGAUUAGAAAUGAUCGACGCGGGCACACCUUAAAGACGAACAAUAUCUCGGAUAUAGAUCUCAGCUAACCUCUCAGAAGAAUAGGAGACUGCCUCAGGAUUGAAAUGUGCUGACUUGGUUAGCCUUUCAACAAUAAUCCACACUGCAUCGAACUUCCUCUAAGUCCGUGGGAGUCCAACAACAAAGUCCAUAGUGGUAUGAUCCCACUUUCUCUUAGGAAUAUCAAUCUUCUAGAAUAUACCACCAAGUCUCUGAUGCUCGUACUUUACCUGCUGACAAUUCAAACACCAAGCCAGGUAUGCAAAAAUAUCCUUCUUCAUGCUCCUCCAUCAAUAAUGCUGCCGUAAAUCCUGAUACAUCUUAGUGGCGCCCAGAUGAAUAUAGUACCAGGAACUAUGGGCCUCCUCUUAAAUCAACUCUCGAAGUCCAUCCACAUUAGGCACAUAAAUACGACCCUGCAUCCUCAAAGCUCCAUCAUCUCAAACUGCAACUUGCUUGGAGCCUCCGUGCUGCAUCGUGUCUCGAAGGACACAUAAAUGAGGAUCGUCAUACUCUCGGAUAUGCUCAAAUAAUGAAGAAAAAGCAACGGUGCAAGAUAACACACGGCUGGGCUCAGAAACAUCCUCAUGAACUGGUUGGCCAAAGCCUGAACAUCCAAAGCAAGUAGUCUCUGAGCGACCGAAAUAUAUGCAUGACUUGCCAUGCUGUCUGACUUUCUACUCCAAGCAUCGACCACCACAUUGGCCUUUCGCGGAUGAUAUAAGAUGGUGAUAUCAUAGUUCUUCAAUAGCUCCAACCACUUUCUUUGCCUCAAAUUUGGCUCCUUCCGCUUGAACAAGUACUAAAUACUCUUAUGAUCCGUGAACACCUCACAUGACACACCAUACAGAUAAUGCCUCCAAAUCUUCAACACGCGAACAAUGGCUUCUAACACCAAAUCAUGAACUGGAUAAUUCUUCUCAUGAAUCUUCUACUGUCAUGAAUCAUAAGCAAUGACCUUGCUAUCAUGUAUCAAACCGCACAAAGUCCAAUAUGAGAUGCAUCACAAUAAGCUGUAUAUGGAUCUGAACUUGUGGGCAAAACCAAUACCGUCACCAUAGUCAAAACUCUCUUAAGCUUCUGAAAGCUCGCCUCACACUCAUGCAACCACCUAAACUGGGCACCCUUCUAGGUCAACCUGAUCACAGGGGCUGCAAUAGAUGAAAACCCUUCCACAAACCGACAGUAAUUACCCGCUAGAUCCAAGAAACUCCAAAUCUCUGUAGCUGAUGCGGGUCUAGGCCAGUCCUUGACUGCCUCUAUCUUCUUCAGAUCUACUUUAAUACUCUUUGCUGACACAAUAUGACCCAAGAAAGCACUGAUCCCAACCAAAACUCGCACUUCAAAAACUUAACAUACAACUAACUAUCUUUCAAAGUCUGAUGAAAAACUCUCAAAUGCUACUCAUGCUCCUCCCGGCUGUGGGAAUAAAUCAAAAUAUCAUCAAUGAAGACUAUCACGAACGAAUCCAAGUGAGGCUUGAACACUCGGUUCAUCAAAUCCAUAAAAGCCGCUGGGGCAUUUGUCAACCCAAAUAACACCAUCAAGAACUCAUAACGCCCAAACCAAGUACAAAAAGCUAUCUUAGGGACAUCGCAUGCGCUAAUCCUCAACUGAUGGUAGCCAGAUCUCAAGUAAAUCUUUGAAAAUACCGUGGCACCCUGAACCUGAUAAAAAAAAUCAUUAAUCCUCGGCAAUGGAUACAUGUUCUUGAUUAUAACCUUGUUCAACUGCCGGUAAUCUAUGCACAUCCUCAUUAGUCCGUCCUUCUUCUUAACAAACAACAGCGACGUACCCUAGGGCGAGACACUAGGUUUAAUGAAGCCCUUAUCAAGUAAAUCCUGCAGCUUCUCCUUCAAUUCUUUCAACUCUGGUGGGGCCAUACGAUACGAUGGAAUAGAAAUGGGUCGAGUUCCGGGAGCCAAAUAAAUGAUAAAGUCAAUAUCCCUGUCUGGUGGCAUACCCAUCAGGUCUGAAAGAAAUACCUCAGGAAACUCACAAACAAUAGGCGCAAAAUCCAUAGAAGAAACCUCGACACUAGAAUAACAAACAUACGCCAAAUAGGUGAAAUAUCCUUUAUCAACCAUACGCCAAGCCUUCAUAUAUGAGAUAACCCUACGGGUAGAAUGACUAAAAGUUGCUCUCUACUCUAAACGAGGCAACUCUAGCAAGGCUAAGGUCACAGUAAUGACAUGAUAGUACAAGAUAGAGUGGUAGGGUGGUAACCAAUCCAUUCCUAAUAUGACAUCAAAAUCAAUCAUAUCCAAACGUAAUAAGUCUACUCGGGUCUCAAGACCCCUAAUUGCAACUACACAAGAAGAAUGAACAUGAUUUACCACAAUAGAAUCACUCACCAGUGUAGACACAUAUACAUGAGCACUUAAAGAAUCACUAGGCAUGAUCAAGUAUGGUGCAAAGUAAGAUGACAUAUAUGAGUAUGUAGACUUUGGAUCAAAUAGUACUGAAGCAUCCUUACUAUAAACUAGAAUAGUACUUAUGAUAACUGCAUCGGAAGCUUUAUCCUCAGGUCUGGCUGGAAGAUCAUAACAUCGGGGUUGGGCCUCACAACUCUGAAUUACAUCUCUGGGAUGGCCUUCCCCUGGCUGGCCUCAACCUCUAGCGGAUGGAUCUCCAGCUUUAAUACAUCUACCUCCACCUCUAGCACCUCUAUAGCUGGUUGAGCUUUAAUUACAUCUCUGGAACACUCGAUUCCUGGACCAUGGUACGGGAACAUUGAUGCUGAGAGCUGCUCGAUGCUCGAGGGCAAAGUCUAGCGAUAUGUCUCAUAUUGCCACAAAUAUAACAAGCCCUCAACUUUAUAACAAGCCCUCAGCUAUUGGGGCUGCUUACUAACGGCCUGAAUGACCACCCUGAAAACUCUGGAGCAACGGUGCACUAAUAGGAGUUGGUAGUGCAUUCUAGGGAAACUAAUAAGAAUACUGCAUAUGAGAACUACGGUCACCUGGUGCACCAUGAGAAGCUUGAAGUGCCGAAUGAAAUGGCAUAGAAGAAUGGCCCCUACCAAAAAAAUCCCUGCCUCCAGAUGAGGCACCACCAAAUCAGCCGAAUGAAGAGGCUUCUUGUCAUGCCCUGACCACUCCCCUGUGAUAGAACCAUCUCAACUCUCCUGGCCACAUUGGCCGCAUCCUGAAAAGAAAUCCGCUCCCCAUCUUAUUAGCCAUAUGCAAUCGAAUUAGGUGAAUGAGUCUAUCAGUGAAUCUCCUUACUCACUCUCUCUCAAUGGAAAGUAUAAGAAGAGCAUGACGGGCCAAGUCAAUAAAUCUGGUCUCGUACUGAGCAACGGUUAUAGAACCCUGCUGGAGACGCUGAAAUUGCCUCCGAUAGUUCUCCCUCUAAGUGAUAGGAAGAAACUUCUCCAGAAAUAAUUGAGAGAACUGAUCCCAAAUGAAAGCUGGUGACCCAGCUGUUCUAGCCAAACAAUAAUCUCUCCAACAAGUCUUGGCGGAUCCAGACAAGCGAAAAGCAACAAAGUCAACCCUAUUGGUCCCCACUUCCGAAGAACCUCAUGACAGCUGUCCAAAUAAUCUUAGGGAUCCUCAAAAGAUGUACCACCAAAAGUAGUAGUAAAAAGCUUGGUGAACCUGUCCAAUCUCCACAAGGCAUCAGUAGACAUAGCUGGCCCCUCUCCGGUCUAUGCCACAAUACCAUGCUGAACUACCCCAACCGACUGAGCUGCUAGAGUCUAAGAUUGGGGAGCCAUGUACUCUGGAGUGUGAGUAGAAGGUGUCUAGGCUCCUCCUCCAGCCUUAGAAAUGGCGGGUGCUACAGGAAGAAAGCCCGCAUGCGCGACACUCUCCAUAAGGCCCACUAGACGGACCACAUCAUCCUGAAGUACCGGGUGUCACACCUCCUUUUACUACUAUAGCCCGGAAGGGUAUAAAGGGGGUUUUCCAAUUAAAGACAAUCGGAACAGAAUUAGAUUAUUAAAAGAUACAGAGCCACCACUUGGGAGAUUUAUGGUGUGCCAAGUCACCAAUUUAUAUCCCAAAUUGAGGAAAAGUUUGACUAUGUUUAAUAGUCCGCCAACCAGAAAUUCGGGUAUGGAAUAUGUUAACCCGGGAGAAGGUGUUAGGCACUCCCGAGUUCCGUGGUUCUAGCACGACCGUUCAACUGUUAUAUUCGGCUUAAUUAUCUAAUUUUUGUACGUGUUCAAACCUAUGUGCAUUUUAACUUUUAACUGCUUUGUUUAAUUUUCUUAGGAAAAUUACAAUGUUGUUAAAAUACGUCUUGAACCAUGUCACAUAAAUGCACUUGCGGUCUUUGACAUAUUUUAACAUUGUUGAGAUUUGGAUUUGGGUCACAUAAAUGCGCACCCUAAUUUAAGAAGGUAAUAUUAUUAAAAUGACGCGCCUAAAGCCACUACACGUUUGCAAUUUGGGAGAGCCAUAGAAAUUUACUAAAUGGCGCGCCUCAAAUUCUAAAGGAUAAACAAGAUUGAUUAAAAUGAGGGCCAUGCAAUUGUCAUUUUUGUUUGACAUGGCGCACCUCAACUAAAUUUCUUCACAUGUAUUUGGUCCAAGUCGAGAUCAGCGAGAGCAACGCCUAACAAGAUUCGCACACAUGAAAGAGUCAAGUAAAAGGACCUCAGGACAAUCAAAUACAAUCAUUAAAUUAGCACAAUCAAGCAGCCAAGUAAGCAUAUAAAUAUGUUGUUUCCUGGAAACAUUUUAGUCUUGCACUAACUGACAAAAUUGGAAGGCCAGAAGUGGGAGUUCCUUUUCAGGAUAAAGCUCAAAAUGAUCUAAUUUCCUGUGCAGCCAAAUCAACUGAUGCAAUGGCCCCAAGAUUUGAAUCUGACUUAAACGAUGAACAACAGAAGUUUAAGAAAACUGUUGAUGAGUAUAGAUAGAAGUCCAGCAGGGAUAUACAUGCUCAUAAGGGUAAGUCGAACGAGCUUAUGGACAAAACAACUGUUAAGGAGGAAGAAGGGAAUGAAAAUUCCUUGGAGCCUAGAUCUGCUAACAAAUCAGCCGAUGCAACAGUUAAAUCAAAGAAAGAUGUCUUUGAUGAUGCUAUAAAAGAACUUCACAAUCGUUGAAUGUAACAACAUGCACCGCCACAAUCGCCCAUGAAAGUUGGAAUUGGUAAAAACCUUUACUUAACUCCGCUUAAAUAAUAAACACACCCGAAAUCCAGAAGCUAAUAUUGAUCCAAAAGCAGCAAGGUCAAGUAGAAGUCAUAAAGUCUGGAUAGAAAUCUUAAGCAAACACCUGGUUUCGAUGCUCAAAAGCAAAACCAACUAAUCUUCAACCAAACACAAUUUUGAACGAGGAAUCACAAGGCUAAAUGCUGGGAAAAAUUUUUCUAUGACUUCUCUUGGAAUAAAACUAAACUAAACUCAAAAGAGACGAACCCAGACUAUGCUUCUUUUGUUUCUGUUUUCCUUUUGUGGAAAAAUGCAAACUAGAGCUGGCACACACACAUGAGUAAAGUUUCAGCCAAAACAUAAAUUAAUCCAUGAGACGCUCCUUUAAAUCACGUUAUAAUCUUGGGGCAGAACAUAACAAACGCAACACAUAUGACUCACGGGUUGCAACAGAAGAAUAUAGUGUGAGUAUGGAAGGUGAGGGGAUGACCUUAAGUGUUUUCUUUGUUUAGAAGUUCACUAUGAAGUGAGGGUAUUGCAUUUGAAUGAACUUGAAAAAAAAUGUUAAAACCUCAGACACUUAGCAAGAUAUUUGUUUCCAAACUUAGAUGGACAAGAGUUUGAUUCAACAAUCUGAACAACAAAACCUCAAAACAAUAGAGCUUUAACAAGUUGCUAAUAGUAAAAUGAUGAGGAUAGCUUCAAACACUAGAUCGCUUUAAGUGGACAAGACAAACUUUAGCAUACUCGAGCUAAUGGACUAAUGAACAAAGGACUCUGACAUCCUUCUUAUGAGAGCUUACUCAAACAGAAACCAACAACACCUCAAAUGCAUCGCUUCAUACUUACACUAUCACAUUCAGAAUCAAGCAAAACCCUGAUUCAAAUUCCCAGUUUUAGAGAAGCUUAUGCUAACAGACUAAACAACCAUAACAGGGCAGCUUUGCAAACAUUAAGCGAACCAUUUGACUUAAAAUAACACUAAUGUGAUGUCUUCAAAAAUCCAUACCAUCUCAAAUCUAAAAGAAAAGGUUUAUUUGAAAGCAACAAAAUCUUGACUCAAAUGAAAAACUCGACACCAUAAUAACAGUUAAAGCAUAUGAACAUAGAGAAUGACCCUUCAAACUCAACUUUUACUAACUGAACAUAUUUAUAUACAUCACACUAUUGAGAAUAGAUUCAUUCAACAAGAAAUUCAAUCACAACACGAAACAGACCACUCUAGACUGAAUCUCAUAGCUCAAAAACACAGAAACAAAAAAAGAGUUGCAUAGAUAAAAGAGAGGAAAAUUGAACCUGAAGUUACAAAUCUCCUUUAUAACAAUUAUCAACUUGACAAUACAACUCCUGAUUCCAAAUCCUAGCAAGGUUCAACAACAAAUCAGCAAGACGACAGUAGAAAACCAAGCUCGAACUUCAAUUUGUAUCUCCUUGGAACUCAAAUCCGGAUUCAAAAAUAAAAAUUGUACGUAUGUUUCUCUAAAACUUUGAAAGAACUCGCCAAGAAGAAAAAUAAACCUAGAAAAACCAUCAGUUCCAGAAACCUUUCAACUUUUUCUUUGAAUUUUGUUAGCAGAGUCCCCCUUCACAAAAUCGGAUAAGGCUUCGAAUCCUUGAUGAAUGUGGGGCUCGGAUUGAGUGAAAUCAAUCCAACGCCCCACACUCAUCCAGCAUAUCGUCUCCAAACCUUCCAAUCAUGAGAUAAAACUCGAAUUCAAGCGAGUGAGAGGGGAGGGGAAUCUUGUGUCAGAAACCGUUAGAAAUGGCAAGAUGAGAGAAGGAGGGACACGUGGGUUAAGAAUUUGGGAUUCGCUCACCCGAAUUUGGACUGAUUUGGGGUUUGGUUCGAGUGAGAACGAUGAUUCAAUAGUUUCACUUCUUUGACUUUUGGGAUUUUAGGGCUCGUUGUAUUGUUUGAUGGUAUUUUGGGCGAGUGAGGCAGGUAAGGGGAAUGAGUCAGGCAACAGGUGAGGCGUUUGGGCUGGGGAAGGAAUUGUGUUAGGAUUUUAUUUGUUGGUCUUGGCCCAAAUUCCCUUUCUCUUUUCUUUUGUUCAAUUGCUUUUUCUUCUUAUUUAAUUGCACUUAAAUUAAAACUCCUAAAAAUAAUUAAGUUACUAAAUUAAGCUAAAAACCUUGUAUAAAAUUUACAAGAAUUAGUUACUUCUAAAUAAAAGGGUUUGUUGCGUUAUAAUUAAAAGGCUAGAAAUGCAAAAGUAAACCAAUUUAUGAUUUUCAUUUUUUAAUAAAGCACAUAAUUUAAUAAUUAACCUUAAAAUGUGAAAAUAAAUCCUAAAAUGCAAAUGCGUGGUAUUUUUAUAUUUUUAAUAAUUUAGUAAAAUUGAACAUGCACGGACAAAUGCAAAAAAAAAAAGCUGCAAAAGUUUACGAAUUUGCAAAUGAUGGAAUUUUUUUUUCCGAAUUUUUGGGAUAGUUCAUAUAGGACAAAAAUUACGUGCUCACAGGUGCCCCUUUUUGUUUGGAAACACAAAACAUUUUCUUGCAAAGAUAAGUGAGCGGACACAAGCGAUUUUUGCGCGUUUGAAUACUCCGUGGGAAGAAUUUUUGAAAGGUUUGACCAUACCCUACUUCUGAAGUUGCCUACAUAUCUUUGGCUAUAAAGGAAUCAAGUCAAUGUACUUCAGGCAUGUUUGGUAGCUAGGAGUACCAUGAAAUUGUGAUUUCACUGUUUCUGUUGCUGCUGCUGUUGCUACUGCUUGCUGAACCCCUUAUUACACCAUUUAAAAAUAAAAAGAAUCUAUACUAAACUAUGAUAUAUAAAUUACAAGAAAUAUUAUCUAUAUCUUCAAACUUGAUUUUGCAGCUCUUGUUGCUUUAUUGACUUGCCUACUCCUGGUGGAAUCCCUUUGUUGCCACCUUGAAUUGUAAUGUGAGAUGUUUUCCAUUUUUCCAGAUGGAUGCCUGACUGCUGAACUCUAAAUUGUAUUCCCUUACUCUUUAGGUGGACGCCUAAUUGCCGAACUUGAAUUGUAUUCCCUUGUUCUCCAGGUGGACUCCUGAUUGCUGAACUUGAAAUGUAUUCCCUUGUUCUCCAGGUGGGCGCCUAAUUGCUGAACCUGAAAUGUAUUCUUUUGUUUUACAGGUGGGCUCCUGAUUUCAACAAAAUAGACAAAACAAAGAAAGAUUUCUGCCCUAGUUUGGUGGUUGGGCAUAGGUGUGAGGUGUAAAACUAAAUCAUGUUACAAAUAUCAGUAAGAACUUGAAAGCUAAAACUUGGAUUAUACUCCCUUAUUCUCCAGGUGGCGCCUGAUUGCCGAACUUGAAAUGUAUUCCCUUGUACUCCAGGUGGGCGCCUGAUUGCUGAACUUGAAAUGUGUUUCCUUGUUCUCCAGGUAGGCGCCUAAUUGCUGAACUUAAAAUGUAUUCCCUUGUUCUCCAGGUGGGCGCUUGAUUACUGAACUUGAAAUAUAUUCCCUUGUUCUUCAGGUGGGCUCCUGAUUUCAACAACAAUAGACAAAACAAAGAAAAUUUUCUGCCUUAUCUUGGUGGCUGGCAUAGAUGUGAGUGUCAAACUAAAUCAUGCUACCAAAUAUCAGUAAGAACUUGAAAGCUAAAACUUGAAUUGUACUCCCUUGUUCUCCAGGUGGGCGCCUGAUUGCCGAACUUGAAAUGUAUACCCUUGUUCUCCAGGUGGGCUCCUGAUUCUGAACUUGAAAUAUAUUUUUUUGUUCUCCAUGUGGGCGCUUGAUUGUUGAACUUGAAAUGUAUUACCUUGUUUUCCAGGUGAGCUCUUGAUUUCAACAAAAAUAGAUAACACAAAGAAAAUUUUCUGCCCCAAUUUGGUGGCUGGCACAGAUGUGAGUGUAAAACUAAAUCAUGUUACCAAAUAUUAGGAAGAACUUGAAAGCUAAAGCUUGAAUUAUACUCCCUUGGUCUCCAGGUGAGCGCCUGAUUACCGAGCUUGAAAUGUAUUCCCUUAUUCUUCAGGUGUGCGCCUGAUUUCUGAACAUGAAAUGUAUUCCCUUGUUCUCCAGGUGAACGCUUGAUUAUUGAGGUUGAAAUGUAUUCCCUUGUUCUCCAGGUGGGCGUUUGAUUUCAACAAAGAUAGACAAAUCAAAGAAAAUUUUAUGCCUCAGUUUGGUGGCUGGGCACAUAUGUGAGUGUAAAACUAAAUAAUGUUACCAAAUAUCAGUAAGAACUUGAAAGCUAAAACUUGAAUUAUACUCUUUUGUUCGCUAGGUGAGCGCCUGAUUGCCGAACUUGAAAUGUAUUCCCUUAUUCUCCAAGUGGAAACCUGAUUGCUGAACUUGAAUGUGUUCCAUGUUCUUCAAGCAGGUACCUGAUUACAACAAAAAUAGACAAAACAAAGAAAAUUUUCUGCCCCAGUUUGGUAGCUGGGUAAAUAUGUGAGUGUUAAACUGAAUCAUGUUACCAAAUUCUCUAAGAAUUUUAAAGCUAGAUCCCAUUAUCCAAGAUGGUCCUGACAACUCCUAAUUAAAUGAUAGUUUUAGAUCUAAGUUAUAUCUUCUAGAGGUAUUACUUCCGCUGAAUCUUGUUUUAUAAGUGGGUCUUACACCAUAUCUCAAUAUCCAGGAGGGUUCUAAAAACUCCUAGUUAAAAGACAUUUUUAUCCUAAGUUACAUCUACUGAAGGUACGACUUUCACUACCUCUUGUUAUCUAAGCAGACCUUGAAACUACGUUCCAUUAUCUAGGAUGAUCCUGAAAAAUCAAAAUCAAGUCUUAUCAUUCUUCCCUACGACAGAACUUAUGCUAAAUCUUGUUUUCUAAUGGAAAUCUUAAAGCUAAGUCUCAUUAUCAGGAGGGUCUUAACAACUCUUAAUUAAACGUCAAUUUUAAAUCUAAGUUAUAUCUUCUGGAGGUAUUACUUCCACUACAUCUUUUCAUCUAAGAAAGUAUUAAAGCUACAACCCAUUAUCCAGGAGGGGCUUGACAACUCUUAACUAACGAUUAUUUUAAAACUAAACUAUAUCUUCUAAAGGUAUACUUCCGCUAUAUCUCGUUAUCGAAGAAAAUAUUAAGGCUACGUCCCAUUAUCCAGGAGGGAGACAAUUUUAACACUAAGCUAUAUCUUCUAAAGAUGCAGCUUUCACAACAUCUUGUUAUCUAAGAAAAUAUUAAGGUUGCGUCCCAUUAUUUAGGAGGGACCUUAAAAAUUUGAAUUGAAUCUUAUCUAAAAUGAAAACUUUGAAGCCAACUUACAUUUUCUUGGGUUAUGACUUAUGCUAGAUCUUGUUACUCGUUGUUUUUAAAAUUAAGUCUCAUUUUGCAGGAGGGUCCUGGCAACUCCUAACUGAAUUCUAUCUUUAACAAAAAUUUUGAGAAAGACGUAUAUUUUUUUGGGUACAUUUAUGCUAGCUAUUGCUACUCAAGAUUUUUUUGAAUUUUAAACUGGGUCCCAUUUUUCAGGAGGGUCCUGAAAAUCAAAAUCAAGUCCUAUCUUAAGAGUGACGAUUUUACGGCUGAAUUAUGUUACCCUACAACAGAACUUACGCUACAUCUUGUUAUCCAAUAAAAAUCUUAAAGCUAGGUCCCAUUAUUCAGGAGGGUCCUUAAAACUCCUAAUUGAAUCGUAUCUUAAACAUGCAAACUUUGAAAUGUUCCGUACAUUUAUGCUAGAUUUUGCUACCCAUUUUUUUAAAACUAGGUCCCAUUUUCCAGGAUGGUCCUGAAAACUUCUAAUUAAAUCCUAUCUCAAGAAUGAAAACCUCAAAACCAACUUAUAUGCCUUUAUGGGUACAUUUAUGCUAGCUUAUGCUACUCAUGUUAUUUUGAAUUUUAAACUAGAUUCCAUUUUCUAGGAGGGUCUUGAUAACUCCUAAUUGGAUUCUAUCUCAAACAUGUCAACUUUGAAGCCAACUUAUAUUCCUUUGGGGCACAUUUAUGCUAGAUUUUACUUCUCAUGAUUGCUUUGAAUUUUAACUUAGAUACCAUUUUCCAAGAGGGUCCUAAAAAAUCUUAAAUGGAUUCUAUCUCAAACAUGUCAACUUUGAAGCCAACUUAUAUUCCCUUGGGUACAUUUAUGCUAGAUUUUACUAAAUCGUGAUUGUUUUGAAUUUUAACCUUGGUACCAUUUUUCAGGGGGGUCCUAAAAACGUACAGGCAUACUUGUCUGAUACUUGCUUUUCCUUUAUGGAGGGUUUCUCCGAAACAAAUGAAAUUCUUUGCCCUUGUUUCAAUCAAAGAAAAAUCUUGUCAGUCUAAACAUGGUGGUUGGUUUGUGGUCUUGGGCUUGAAGGACGAUUUCUCUUUCACUUCCUGUGGUAUCCUUGGUUUCAACUCGAAAGACCUUUCCUGUUUAUUGACUGACCACUUUCUCUAUUAUCUUUAUCACGGAAAAUACCUUUUCUUCGUUCAGACCCAAUAUCUCUAUUUGUUGCAUUGCUCAUGAACUGGCAUCUACCCAACAUUUGUGUCUCACAUGAAUCCCAAAGCACGUACAUUGCCCACCACUCCCCGUGUAUGCUAUUAUUUCUUGACUUAAUCCACAUGCCUUGGCCUUGAGGUUUGUUGCUCCUUCACUUGCCAUGAUAACAGAUUUCCAUUCGAAGUGCUUGCUUGUUCCUUGACUAACCAAUUCUUUUGUCACCCUUAACACAAAAAAUACCUCUUAUCCGUUCAAACCCAAUACCUUCUAUCUGUUGAAUUGCUUGUGAACUAACAUUUACCAACCUUUGUGUCUCACAUGAACCGCAAAGCACGACACUUGUCACCCCAUCAUUGCGUAUGCUGUUAUUUCUUGACUUAAACAAGUAGUCAUGUCCUUGAGGUAUAUGACUCCCUCAUUUGCCAUGAUAACUUUUAUUUCUGCUUGGAAGGUCUUGCUCAUCACUAGUUUACCACCCUUUUUUCAAUCUUAUCACUGGAAAUACCUUUGAUCUGUUUACCCUAACCCUUCAUCUGUUGCAUUGUUCAUAAAUUCAUAUAUACCCAGCCUUUGCAUUUCUUAAGGAUACCAAAGCAUGUUGAUUGUUACCAGCUCAGUGUGCUUGCUGUUCUUUCCUGACUUAUGACGCUUUGAUAUGUUAACUAGAUCAUGUUUUGUGCAAUUGGAAAGCUGGUGGCUAAUUUUGAAGUCAUUUCUCACUUGUUCUGACCAAGCAGACAUAGGAAGAGGAAGUGAACAAUACAAAAUGAACAGAGUAGAGGACAAUGGAAAGAGAAGAUUCCUAACAAGAAAACUAUAAAGUAGCAACCUAUCGGAUGUGGAUACCAACUCUAAUGACCAUGACAUGCACCUGCGGCCUAUUAUGUUAAGCAAAUAUGAUGUUUAGCUCCUGUUAUACCCCCAAACAGUGAAAUUAGGCUUCGAUGCUCUGUCGUUAGUCAUCUUUCACAAUCUCCGCCUGGUGAUUUUCUAUUUAAUUUUCAGUCCUUAUUUGACUUGUAGUGCCCGGAGGGUUUUCACCAUCAAGCCUCUCUCCUUUUGUUCUUUCUCUCAACUUACAGUCACCUCAAGGUGCCCGUGAAGGGUUUCACCAAUAAGACUCUCUAAUUUUUGAUUUCUCUCAACUCCUAUUGCCUUACGGUGCCCGCGAGGUUUUUCACCAAUAAGACUCUCUCAUUUUCAUUAUUGUUUCUGCUUGGACCGGAGUGUUGCCCCUGACAUGAAUUACCUCUACUUGCUCGACUUGACAUCUCUCGAAGACUGAUCAGAAGGUCUUUCUUUGGAUCGUAAUGUGGGGUUUUGGAUAUGUUAGAAAGGUUAUUAAAGGCUCAAAACAAUUCAAAUGGGUUGAAAAUUACAACUUUCAGAAUCAAAUAUCUUACAAUAACCAAAAUUUCUUCCCCAGUUUCUUGCUUGGGGACUUUUGGAUUUUUAUUUUGAUAGGACCGAAUCGUGAGGCUUCCUACAUGUCCUUAAAAGGAAUCAGGUCGAACGUAGUUCAUGCCAUAGAAAUUACUUUAUUUUGUUUUGAUUUUCUCAUUUCUAUUUCUUUUCUUUCUUUCCUUAUUUUUGUUGUUGUUUUCCUUCUCUUUUCUUUUUUUCUCUCUCUUUUAAUUCUUUUCCUUUUCUUUUUUUUUUCUUACUUAUCUUUCAUGCUCGUGUUUCUAAUCUUUAAUACUGAUUUCAAAAGAGGUGUAUGAAAGAAAAUAAAUAAGGCUCAAAGGGGUAACAAAGGAUAAAGUGCUUAGAUAGCAGCACCUCGUCAUUCCAAUCUUCAAAACAUGCCAGGUACAAACAACGCAAUUAAACAAAUCAUAGAAAACAAUCAUAACAUCUUAUGAUUGUACCAGACUUGAUAACCAUAUCCACACAUUCGCCUUCUACAUUUGUUAAAUAUAAAGCACUAUUGAACAACACUCUCGCUCUCCUUGCCACAAACGACCCCUGUCAAAUUGGGAAAACUUGCCUUUAGCUUCAACCCGAUACGACAUGAUGCAUUUAAAUAGGGUUUUUUUUAUGUUCUAUAUGCCCCAGUUUCACACAGUUUUGGCUUGAAGUGAUCUCAAAAUGCCUUUACUUAUUUUCCUUAAAUGUACCUAUUGAACAUUGUUUUACUGCUUCAUGACUAAACUGAAUUUUAUAACCGGGCUGAGAUUUACGCGUGAAUGUCAUGUCACUAGAGUCAAUAGAAAAAGAACCAUAAAAAGAAAAGAGAACUAAAUGAAAAUGACUAGAAAUUACAAAAAACAGAAAAUUGCAUUAGACAGAUGGUGAAAGGGUUUGGACAACAAAACAAGCAAACAAUCUAGGGAAAAUGAACAGACAAAAGGGUUUGAGUCACAUGAUAAUAUCCAAAUUACAAUCCUAAAAUAACCUAGGCAACAAAAAUGACGACAAAUAAACCACCAAAACUCCACUCCAGCUGACCAAGAAAUGGAACGUCACGACAUCUUAAUCACUAAGUUUCCCAUCAAUAUUUCCAAGACCAUUAUCAACUUUAAUCAACAAGUUCCCGAGAGGAUUCACAUGCUCCCUGUAACUGUCAUUGACAACAACUACCCCUUCUUGAAUCAUUAUUUCUAUUUUCCUUUUCAAAGAGCGACAAUAUUCAAUGCUAUGCCUCUGGACAUUAGAGUGGUACAUGCAUCAAGUAGGUGGAUAAAAGCCUUUCGCAUAUGGGUCUGGAAUAUAGCCGAGGAGCGACUCAAUCAUGCCAGAAUGCUUUAACUUUUCAAACAAACUUGUAUAGGAUUCUCCGAUAGGCAUGAAAUUAUCUUUUUGUCUUUGUUUCCUUCCAUGCCUCAGUUAUUUAGGAUUAUUAGAUGCUUGAAAAUGUUUGAAAGGCACACAUGAAUUUUAGGAUGCCGGUGCUCGGCCUAGGGAGUGACCUGGUGGUUGGACAGGCCAGAUGUUGUUCAACAGAUAAUACCGGGGAGGCUUAUGUGGAGUUUGGGGAUAAUGCUGAGGUGGGUUAUGUGGGGAUUGUUGGGGUUGAAGUUAAGGCUGAAUACGUUUAGAAAGGACGACCACUGGACCCUGUCAUCGGCGAGGCUCACUGAUAUCCUUCCUAUCAAUGGGAGGACCAUCCCGGGCAACUUGUUCAUUCCAUCUAAGCCAAAAAUCCUUAAAACUUUCCUUGGGUUUCUCUUGCAUCCGAGAUAGGGAGGAGUGGUCAAGGACAAAGUUUAUAUUGUACUGAAAGCGUCGAACAAAAUCUUGACCCAUGUCACCUAAUGUAGACCACUUAGCAACAUCUUGAGAAGUAUGCCAGUCCAAAGCUGCCUCAGUCAGGCUCUCACUGAAAUACACCAUCAUCACGUCAUCUUUCUCUCCAACACUUCUCAUUUCAGUGCAGUAAAACUUAAGGUGGGAUAUCGGAUCUCCACACCUAUCAUACAAGUUAAAUUUUGGUAUCUUAGACCCCGCAGACAGGGGAAUGUCAGGGGACACAGACACUUCUUUGUAAGCCAUGUUACCCCGGUCCCCCAUUCCUUGCCUGAUCUUUAGGGACUGUUAUACACUUUUCAACUCACUAGAUAUCCCAUAUCGCCCUUCUUUUCCUGUCACCUUUUCAUUUUCACCAUGAAGCGCAUACCGAUGGCUCUUUUUGUAUGAGUCAGGAACCUUGUGGGCAACCUCUAAGGGGUAAUAUUGGCAUCAUGAGCUUUGAGUAGGUAUUCAUUGUUGGAGGUAUGAGGGAAAUUUUGGGGAGAGGUAAUUGGAGGAUGAGUGAGGGAGCUACUGGGGUGAUUGGGAAGUGCCAAAGUUUGGGUAAAGAUAGCAUCUAAGAAGCCAGGUGGUGGCAAGGGUGGUACCUUCCCAUCCAUCCAGUCCCGAUACAUGUCCGCCAUGUGUUGUCUUAGCAUCUUUACCUCCUCAACCAACCCAUUGGCCUGUUCAACCACUUGCUUUUGGGCACCGGUAUCAACCAACUCAGUUAUGUUAUUAUCUGUCAUUGCCUUUUGACUUUGUGUUGUGGAGAGGAACUACCAUUUUAAAAACCUCAAACCAACCACCCAUAUGCUUUAUAGCAAAAUGAGGUCAUCACGUUUGCAUUAUGGCAUUUAAUAGCUACAAUAUCACAUUGCGUGCGAUGUACCUAGUCAUAGCUAUCGGUUCUAACAUGACUGUAUGAAGGUCAUAUGGCAUCAUCCCAAUUUGUUCAUUUCAAUCCUCUCCUUCCUUUGCUUUUCUAGCACUUUUUGGCUUGCUCACUUUCCUUCCCCUUUUCUUUCUGACUACCGCUUUUUUCUUCCCUCUCGUUUCUCGCAUCCUAUAAUUUUACCUUUUUUUCUUUUUUUCUUCCUUUAAAUAAUACAAAAAUGAUUCAAUUGAUCCCUAUGUAGGUUACCUACGUAUCAUGACCCCGCAUGAAUCAGAUCUUUGCGUAAUUCGAAAAAAAUCGAGAAUAGAUUAAACAAACUGAUGUCCUCUUUUUUUCUUUUUCUUUUUCGUUUUUUUACCUUAAUGACUACUCUGACGAGAAAAGAGAAUAGAAGAAAUCCCCUUUUUGAAUUUUCUAGGCUUAAUAUUCUAUAACCUAUUCCAAACUCAAGCUUAACGAGCAUAUAUAUUUUUUCUUUUUCUUUUUGAAACAAACACUCUAAGGGAAAUUAUUAAGGAAAAACCUUAGAAGAGAAAAAAUAAUUUUUGAUUCUUUUUUUUAAGAAGAAAAGCUAAAGAAUAAACCAAAUAAAAAUAUUUUGGAUUUUCAUUUGAUAUCCUGAUGCCAUAUUUCGAAACAAGCAAUGAAGAAUAUAAAACAAAAUAUUUUUGGAUUUUAAUUUUGAUUUCCCAAAGAAUAAUUUCUAUUGAUAAACAAAAAAUAAAGUUUGUUUUUUUCUAUGAAUAAUAUCCUAAAGUUCUAAUAAAAAUAAAAAAGAUUGUUUUUUCAUUUUUCACCAUUAAUUUCCCAAAGAAGAACCUCAAAAUAUUUUUUUUUAGAUUUUUGGAAUUAAUAUCUUGAAAAAAAACUUUUAAAGAGGUACUAAAUGAAAAUUCUCGUCUUUUCUUUUUUGAAUUUUUGGUCUUAAUGUACUAAAAGAAAAUGUAAAAGUAAUUUUAAUUUUAAUUUUAAGUUCUAGAUAUUCAUUACCUAAAGAAAACCACAAGUGAUUUUUGCACUUUUGAGUUAGUAUUCAAAAAAAAUAUCCAACAGAAAUAUAAAAGCGCAAAAUAUCUCUUUUUUGGAUUUUUGACUUAUUACCCAUCCUAUCAUAUUGCUAAUAUUCCUUCACUAACUUGGUUCUUAUCCGAAGAAUCUGGAGGCUGAACUUUGCUUUUGUUCACCAUACGAGAAAAUCCAUAGCCUAGAGACUUCCACUAGUUUCACAUAGCUCAGUAAGAUCAGAGAGG